Molecule: ribosomal RNA, 157 nt
Filed under: Xylariales sp. VegaE1-52
Lineage: Eukaryota; Fungi; Ascomycota; Sordariomycetes; Xylariales
Description: 5.8S ribosomal RNA
Rfam family: 5.8S ribosomal RNA
About the family: 5.8S ribosomal RNA (5.8S rRNA) is a component of the large subunit of the eukaryotic ribosome.
Source: RNAcentral
AACUUUCAACAACGGAUCUCUUGGUUCUGGCAUCGAUGAAGAACGCAGCGAAAUGCGAUACGUAAUGUGAAUUGCAGAAUUCAGUGAAUCAUCGAAUCUUUGAACGCACAUUGCGCCUAUUAGUAUUCUAGUAGGCAUGCCUGUUCGAGCGUCAUUU